This 753-nucleotide ribosomal RNA is filed under the name Enterococcus hirae. RNAcentral describes it as "partial 23S ribosomal RNA". It matches the Rfam family "Bacterial large subunit ribosomal RNA", at positions 1450 to 2210 of the family's 2925-position model. The record is from RNAcentral. Lineage: Bacteria; Bacillati; Bacillota; Bacilli; Lactobacillales; Enterococcaceae.
UUUUUGUUUGAGCAAUGGAGGGACGCAGGAGGCUAAGGAAUGCAGACGAUUGGAAAUGUCUGUCUAAGCAGUAAGUCUUGAUAGGAGUCAAAUGCUUCUAUCUGUACGGACAAGCUGUGAUGGGGAGGGAAAUAAUAGUACCGAAGUUCCUGAUGUCACACUGCCGAGAAAAGCUUCUAGUGAGAAAACAACGACCCGUACCGCAAACCGACACAGGUAGUCGAGGAGAGAAUCCUAAGGUGAGCGAGAGAACUCUCGUUAAGGAACUCGGCAAAAUGACCCCGUAACUUCGGGAGAAGGGGUGCUGAUCUAAGAUCAGCCGCAGUGAAUAGGCCCAAGCGACUGUUUAUCAAAAACACAGGUCUCUGCAAAAUCGUAAGAUGAAGUAUAGGGGCUGACGCCUGCCCGGUGCUGGAAGGUUAAGAGGAGUGCUUAGCGUAUGCGAAGGUACGAAUUGAAGCCCCAGUAAACGGCGGCCGUAACUAUAACGGUCCUAAGGUAGCGAAAUUCCUUGUCGGGUAAGUUCCGACCCGCACGAAAGGCGUAACGAUUUGGGCACUGUCUCAACGAGAGACUCGGUGAAAUUUUAGUACCUGUGAAGAUGCAGGUUACCCGCGACAGGACGGAAAGACCCCAUGGAGCUUUACUGUAGUUUGAUAUUGAGUGUCUGUACCGCAUGUACAGGAUAGGUAGGAGCCGUAGAAAUCGGAACGCUAGUUUCGAUGGAGGCGCUGGUGGGAUACUACCCCUGCG